AGCUUGCUCUUAUGAAGUUAGCGGCGGACGGGUGAGUAACACGUGGGUAACCUGCCCAUAAGACUGGGAUAACUCCGGGAAACCGGGGCUAAUACCGGAUAACAUUUUGAACCGCAUGGUUCGAAAUUGAAAGGCGGCUUCGGCUGUCACUUAUGGAUGGACCCGCGUCGCAUUAGCUAGUUGGUGAGGUAACGGCUCACCAAGGCAACGAUGCGUAGCCAACCUGAGAGGGUGAUCGGCCACACUGGGACUGAGACACGGCCCAGACUCCUACGGGAGGCAGCAUUAGGGAAUCUUCCGCAAUGGACGAAAGUCUGACGGAGCAACGCCGCGUGAGUGAUGAAGGCUUUCGGGUCGUAAAACUCUGUUGUUAGGGAAAAACAAGUGCUAGUUGAAUAAGCUGGCACCUUGACGGUACCUAACCAGAAAGCCACGGCUAACUACGUGCCAGCAGCCGCGGUAAUACGUAGGUGGCAAGCGUUAUCCGGAAUUAUUGGGCGUAAAGCGCGCGCAGGUGGUUUCUUAAGUCUGAUGUGAAAGCCCACGGCUCACCCGUGGAGGGUCAGUGGAAACUGGGAGACUUGAGUGCAGAAGAGGAUAGUGGAAUUCCGUGUGUAGCGGAGAAAUGCGUAGAGAUAUGGAGGAACACCAGUGGCGAA
RNAcentral lists this ribosomal RNA (659 nucleotides) under Bacillus tropicus. Its description in RNAcentral is "bacterial SSU rRNA". It matches the Rfam family "Bacterial small subunit ribosomal RNA", at positions 77 to 719 of the family's 1533-position model. The record is from RNAcentral. Lineage: Bacteria; Bacillati; Bacillota; Bacilli; Caryophanales; Bacillaceae.